GACGAACGCUGGCGGCGUGCCUAACACAUGCAAGUCGAACGGGAUUUGUAUGGUGCUUGCACUAUAUAAUGAGAGUAGCGCACUGGUGAGUAACACGUGGGAACAUACCUUGAAGUGGGGGACAACAGUUGGAAACGACUGCUAAUACCGCAUAAUGUAUCGUGACCGCAUGAUCGUGAUACCAAAGAUUUAUCGCUGAAAGAUGGCCUCGCGUCUGAUUAGAUAGUUGGUGGGGUAACGGCCUACCAAGUCUACGAUCAGUAGCCGGACUGAGAGGUCGAUCGGCCACAUUGGGACUGAGACACGGCCCAGACUCCUACGGGAGGCAGCAGUGGGGGGAUAUUGGUCAAUGGGGGAAACCCUGAACCCGCGACGCCGCGUGAGGGAAGAGGUAUUGAUUGUAAACCUCUGUCGUCAGGGAAGAAAAUGACGGUACCUGACAAGGAAGCACCGGCUAACUACGUG
This 465-nucleotide ribosomal RNA is filed under the name uncultured bacterium. RNAcentral's name for it is "bacterial SSU rRNA". It matches the Rfam family "Bacterial small subunit ribosomal RNA", at positions 28 to 507 of the family's 1533-position model. The record is from RNAcentral.